RNAcentral lists this ribosomal RNA (253 nucleotides) under uncultured bacterium. RNAcentral describes it as "partial 16S ribosomal RNA". It matches the Rfam family "Bacterial small subunit ribosomal RNA", at positions 524 to 776 of the family's 1533-position model. RNAcentral also lists the same sequence under 1 other name. The record is from RNAcentral.
UACGUAGGGGGCAAGCGUUGUCCGGAAUCACUGGGCGUAAAGCGCGCGCAGGCGGCUAUCUACGUCCGGGGUGAAAGCCCAGAGCUCAACUCUGGGAUUGCCUUGGAUACGGGAUCGCUUGAGGAUCGGAGAGGCAAGGGGAAUUCCACGUGUAGCGGUGAAAUGCGUAGAGAUGUGGAGGAACACCUGUGGCGAAGGCGCCUUGCUGGCCGAUUUCUGACGCUGAGGCGCGAAAGCGUGGGGAGCAAACAGG